Podarcis lilfordi (Lilford's wall lizard) is the source of this 1319-nucleotide non-coding RNA. The record is from the annotation of a GenBank genome assembly. Lineage: Eukaryota; Metazoa; Chordata; Lepidosauria; Squamata; Lacertidae.
AGAAAAGAGAAAGAAAAAGAAGAAAAUCAUCUUUUCAAAACAUUUUUCCAUAACCAACCGGACUUCCCCGUCCCCCUCACCUUGCGUUCUUUACAAUAAAAUUUUUCAGCAAAUUAUAACCUUAUUUCGUGCAUUCUUUUGUUCUUUCAAAUACUUGUGAUUUGCGUUUAAAAUGCUUAUUGUCAAUUUACACUAAUAAUAUAUAUAAUGUUCUUUUAAACGUUAGUCCUUUCAUUAAUAUAGCUUAGUUUCCCAUACCUUAAUCUUAUUGCUGGAGCUGAAUUUCCCUAAUCAUGCGAAUUCUUAACAUUCAUAUAACUUAUAAAAUUUUUGUAAAUAAUCUUUAAAUUUUUUCCAAUCCUCCUCCAUUGCUUCUUCCUCCAAAUCUCGGAUCCUGGCAGUCAUCUCGGCCAAUUCCAUGUAACCCAUCAAUUGCGUCUGCCACUCUUCCAGUGUGGGUAAAUCUUGAGUCUUCCAGUAUUUUGCGAUAAGAAUUCUUGCUGCUGUAGUUGCAUACAUAAAAAGGUUCUAUCCUUCUUUAACACCUUCUGACCGACAAUGCCCAGUAGGAAGGCCUCUGGUUUCUUGGGAAAAGUGUACUUAAACACUUUUUUUAACUCGUUAUAGAUCAUUUCCCAGAAGGCCUUCACUUUUGGGCAAGUCCACCAGAGGUGAAAGAAUGUCCCUUCAGCCUCCUUACAUUUCCAACAUUUAUUAUCAGACAAAUGAUAUAUCUUAGCAAGCUUGACUGGGGUCAUGUACCACCUAUAUAUCAUUUUCAUAAUAUUCUCUUUCAAGGCAUUACAUGCCGUGAAUUUCAUACCAGUGGUCCAUAACCUUUCCCAGUCUUCAAACAUAAUGUUGUACCCAAUGUCCUGAGCCCAUUUUAUCAUGGCUGAUUUGACUGUCUCAUCCUGAGUGUUCCAUUUAAGCAGCAAGAUAUACAUUCUCGAAAGUACCUUAGUCUUUGGUUCCAACAAUUCUGUCUCUAGUUUCGAUUUUUCCACCUGGAAACCUGUUCUUUUGUCCAGCUUAAAAACCUCUUGAAUUUGAGCAUAGUGAAGCCAAUUUUGCACCUUAUUCUUUAAUUUUUCAUAACUCUGCAGCCUCCAAGUUUCUCCUACUUUUCUAUAAUUUCCCCAUAUUUCAGCCAACCAACCUCCAUAUUAGGUUUUUCCGGGCCUUGGCCUCUGCUGGUGAAAGCCACCUCGGAGUCUUACCCUCUAAUAAGUCCUUGUAUUUUGUCCAGACCAUAAAUAUUGAUUUUCUAACAAUAUGAUUUUUGAACAUUUUAUGAACCUUUACCUUGUCGUACCACA